This 393-nucleotide ribosomal RNA is filed under the name uncultured bacterium. Its description in RNAcentral is "partial 16S ribosomal RNA". It matches the Rfam family "Bacterial small subunit ribosomal RNA", at positions 523 to 918 of the family's 1533-position model. The record is from RNAcentral.
AUACGGAGGAUCCGAGCGUUAUCCGGAUUUAUUGGGUUUAAAGGGUGCGCAGGCGGGAGAUUAAGUCGGCGGUGAAAUUUUGCAGGUCAACUGUAAAAGGGCCUUCGAAACUGGUUUCCUUUAGUGUAGAUGAAGUAGGCGGAAUUUGUGGUGUAGCGGUGAAAUGCAUAGAUAUCACGAGGAACUCCGAUUGCGCAGGCAGCUUACUAAACUACUACUGACGCUCAGGCACGAAGGCGUGGGGAUCAAACAGGAUUAGAUACCCUGGUAGUCCACGCAGUAAACGAUGAUUACUAGCUGUUUGCGAUACAAUGUAAGCGGCUGAGCGAAAGCGUUAAGUAAUCCACCUGGGGAGUACGUUCGCAAGAAUGAAACUCAAAUGAAUUGACGGGG